RNAcentral lists this ribosomal RNA (497 nucleotides) under uncultured bacterium. RNAcentral's name for it is "partial 16S ribosomal RNA". It matches the Rfam family "Bacterial small subunit ribosomal RNA", at positions 28 to 507 of the family's 1533-position model. The record is from RNAcentral.
GAUGAACGCUGGCGGCGUGCCUAAUACAUGCAAGUCGAGCGAACAGACGAGGAGCUUGCUCCUCUGACGUUAGCGGCGGACGGGUGAGUAACACGUGGAUAACCUACCUAUAAGACUGGGAUAACUUCGGGAAACCGGAGCUAAUACCGGAUAAUAUAUUGAACCGCAUGGUUCAAUAGUGAAAGACGGUUUUGCUGUCACUUAUAGAUUGAUCCGCGCCGCAUUAGCUAGUUGGUAAGGUAACGGCUUACCAAGGCAACGAUGCGUAGCCGACCUGAGAGGGUGAUCGGCCACACUGGAACUGAGACACGGUCCAGACUCCUACGGGAGGCAGCAGUAGGGCAUCUUCCGCAAUGGGCGAAAGCCUGACGGAGCAACGCCGCGUGAGUGAUGAAGGUCUUCGGAUCGUAAAACUCUGUUAUUAGGGAAGAACAAAUGUGUAAGUAACUAUGCACGUCUUGACGGUACCUAAUCAGAAAGCCACGGCUAACUACGUG